CGCGUAGGCGGGAUGGCAAGUCAGAUGUGAAAUCCAUGGGCUCAACCCAUGAACUGCAUUUGAAACUGUCGUUCUUGAGUAUCGGAGAGGCAAGCGGAAUUCCUAGUGUAGCGGUGAAAUGCGUAGAUAUUAGGAGGAGCACCAGUGGCGAAGGCGGCUUGCUGGACGACAACUGACGCUGAGGCGCGAAAGCGUGGGGAGCAAACA
RNAcentral lists this ribosomal RNA (207 nucleotides) under uncultured bacterium. RNAcentral's name for it is "partial 16S ribosomal RNA". It matches the Rfam family "Bacterial small subunit ribosomal RNA", at positions 568 to 774 of the family's 1533-position model. The record is from RNAcentral.